RNAcentral lists this ribosomal RNA (439 nucleotides) under uncultured bacterium. RNAcentral's name for it is "partial 16S ribosomal RNA". It matches the Rfam family "Bacterial small subunit ribosomal RNA", at positions 339 to 795 of the family's 1533-position model. The record is from RNAcentral.
CUACGGGCUGCAGCAGUGAGGAAUAUUGCACAAUGGGGGGAACCCUGAUGCAGCAACGCCGCGUGGAGGAUGACGCAUUUCGGUGUGUAAACUCCUUUUAUAUGUCAAGAAAAUGACGGUAGCAUAUGAAUAAGCGCCGGCUAACUCCGUGCCAGCAGCCGCGGUAAUACGGAGGGCGCAAGCGUUACUCGGAAUCACUGGGCGUAAAGGACGCGUAGGCGGGUUGAAAAGUCAGGUGUGAAAGCCUACAGCUUAACUGUAGAACUGCACUUGAAACUCUCAACCUAGAGUAUGGGAGGGGCAGAUGGAAUUAGUGGUGUAGGGGUAAAAUCCGUAGAUAUCACUAGGAAUACCUAAAGCGAAGGCGAUCUGCUGGAACAUAACUGACGCUAAGGCGUGAAAGCGUGGGGAGCAAACAGGAUUAGAUACCCCUGUAGUC